This is a non-coding RNA of Oncorhynchus mykiss (rainbow trout), 383 nucleotides long. The record is from RefSeq and is a predicted model, not a curated record. Lineage: Eukaryota; Metazoa; Chordata; Actinopteri; Salmoniformes; Salmonidae.
GAAACAUCAGGUCAGACAUGUUCUUUAGUUUUAGUCAGAAACAUCAGGUCAGACAUGUUCUUUAGUUUUAGACAGAAACAUCAGGUCAGACAUGUUCUUUAGUUUUAGACAGAAACAUCAGGUUAGACAUGUUCUUUAGUUUUAGACAGAAACAUCAGGUCAGACAUGUUCUUUAGUUUUAGACAGAAACAUCAGGUCAGACAUGUUCUUUAGUUUUAGACAGAAACAUCAGGUUAGACAUGUUCUUUAGUUUUAGACAGAAACAUCAGGUCAGACAUGUUCUUUAGUUUUAGACAGAAACAUCAGGUCAGACAUGUUCUUUAGUUUUAGACAGAAACAUCAGGUCAGAAACAUCAGGUCAGACAUGUUCUUUAGUUUUAGAC